Helianthus annuus (common sunflower) is the source of this 1947-nucleotide long non-coding RNA. RefSeq lists it as uncharacterized. The record is from RefSeq and is a predicted model, not a curated record. Lineage: Eukaryota; Viridiplantae; Streptophyta; Magnoliopsida; Asterales; Asteraceae. The transcript is spliced from 6 exons.
UCUUGGUGACUUACCCUAAAAUCCUAAAUGGUUCAACUUCUCCAACACAUACCCUUUUUAGCUCUUGUUUUCUCCCCCAGCCGUCAUGUAGCAGCAGCCAUCGUAUUAAGAGGGACCAUCAUCUUGUUAGACGGGAUCUUAGAGAUGGUUCUACCUCUUCGGAAGGUUAUAGUUUUUGAUCGUGGUUUCUCUGUUUAAACCUGGACGAUUCCGAUGGGCAUCCUUUAAUCCGGGCCACAUUAAUGGUUCAAAAUGCGAAAGUGAUUCGAAUGUUGUGAAUGUGUGAUAGAACACAUCAAAGAGGUAUACAAGUUGACUAGAAAAGUUGAAAUCGCAGUUGACAACCUAUCAUUUAUAAGCAAUCCACUAUAAAAAUAUCUUACAAAAAGAAAAGGGGAGCUGCCAAAUAUAAGAAGAUGUUUCUUGAUCCAAAUAACCAAACAAUUGAAUUCAAUGAGGAGGGUUUAGCAAUUGGAGCAAAUGCAGGGAAGUUUAUCUCAUUCGCUUGUUUAGAGUUUAGGACAAGGAUUCCUUAUUGUAAACUAGUUAAAGACAUAGACGAAUAGAAGUACGUUGAUGUAUGGGAGUACAUUCAGGUGUUGCUGUUUUUAAAAUUUUUAAUUUUAUAUUUAUUACUUUCUAUGAUUAACUUUGUUUUAAAUACAUAGGAAACACGGAAGAUACCUAACAAUAACGCAAAAGAUACAGUUAUUAAACAAGGAAAGGACUCAAUGAGAAACUUCCGAUGUACACUUGCAAAUGGUUACGCUCAAAAAGAUAAAUCUCCUUUUGAAAUGUAUGCUUUUAUGGACAGAAGUCAUUGGGUUGAUUUUGUUUUAAAAGUAAAAUCUGAAGCUUUUGAGGAAACAAGUCAAAAGGCAAAGAGGAGUGUAGCAAAGAACGCUAAGCGUCCCUGUGUAGGUCGGAUGGGAUUUGUUGGUUUGCAGAAGUUUGAGGAAGAUAGAUGGAGACAACUUUUAGAAAGCUACCCACACCUACAUAAUUUGGAAGGUGAAGAUGUAAAACAAUAUGCUAUUAGCAGAGCGCGAUACUAUUCCGUUACAAAGUUAUAUGAACUUCCAAAACACCUAUUUUCAAAUGGUGAAUUGACAAGAACACUUCACGACAUGUAUGAUAAAGAGAUAGAGAAGAAGAAAGAUGAUACAUAUGAUAAACAUGGAAAUGAUGUGGUUACUGAAGUGAUCGGUAAGGGACAUCAGCACGGAGGGCGUCUUGGUGCUACAAUUACCUUGCAUUCCAAAAAGAAAAAAAAAGAAGUCUAAGGGGGCACAAAUAGUAAGAGAAGAGAUUGACGCUAUACAAAAAGAUUAGUAUCGUGUUACUGCGGCGGCUCAAGCAAGCUCGAUUAUUCGACUACCAGAAAUCAAGACGGGAUCUUAGAGAUGGUUCUACCUCGUCGGAGGUUAUAGUUUUGGACUUGGACUUGGACUUGGAUUUUGGCUUUGGAUUUCAAUCGUGGUUUCUCUGUUUAGACCUGGACGAUUCCCAAUGCGCAUUCUUUAAUCCGAGCCACAUUAAUGGUUCAAAAUGCAAAAGUGAUUCGAAUAUUGUGAAUGUGUGAUAGAACACAUCAAAGAUGUAUACAAGUUGACUAGAAAAAUUGACAUCUCAAUUGACAACCUAUCAUUUUUAAGGUAUGAAGAACUAUGAAAAAACUAAAGGUUUAACUAUACGGGCCAGGUGUUACAAUAGAGAAAUUUUAGUUGUCGGGGAAGGGGGUGGCUCUAAUAUAUAUAGUAUAUUAGAUGAUGUUGUAUGUUCUAUAUAAACUCUUAAAGAUUGAAUGGCUCAAUUCAUUUCUCAACCCAUUCACAUGGUUCUUGAUCCUUAGAAACAUACAUGAUCAUACUUGUAUCACUUUGCUACAUCAUAGCAACAACAAAUGAUAUAUAAUUUAACCUUGAUUCUAGUUUUAGUUUGGGAUGA